Molecule: ribosomal RNA, 1104 nt
Filed under: Ophryophryne elfina
Lineage: Eukaryota; Metazoa; Chordata; Amphibia; Anura; Megophryidae
Description: partial 16S ribosomal RNA
Rfam family: Bacterial large subunit ribosomal RNA
Source: RNAcentral
ACCGAGGUUAGUAAUAGCUGGUUACUCAAGAAAAGAAUUUUAGUUCAAUCGUAAAAGAACUUAGCCUCUUAUCUCAAAAAGCUUUUCUAAUCCUUUAAGAUAUAUUCAAUAAGGGUACAGCCUUAUUGAAAUAGGAUACAACCUAAAACUCAGGUUAAUGAAUUUAUUCCCCUAUCAAGAGUUAGUUGGCUUAAGAGCAGCCACCUUUAAAAUAGCGUCAAAGCAUUCUCCUCUCCCAUAUUUUAAUUCCUAAAAUUUAUCAGAACCCGAUACUACUAUUGAGUCAUUCUAUAAUUUUAUAGAAAUGUUCAUGUUAGAACUAGUAACACAGAAUUAACUUCUCUCUAUGUGAAUGUAAAUCAGAUUGAAUAACUCACUGAUAAUUAUUCAGUAAUGAUAAUAAUGUAGCAACUUCACUAGAAAAUCCUACUAUCUAACCCUGUUAACCUAACACAAGAACAUAAGAAAAAGAUUUAAAGACAAAGAAGGAACUCGGCAAAUAUGGAUCCCGCCUGUUUACCAAAAACAUCGCCUUUAGAAUCCUAUUAAAGGUAUUGCCUGCCCAGUGACUAUAUGUUCAACGGCCGUGGUAUUCUGACCACGCAAAGGUAGCGUAAUCACUUGUUUUUUAAAUAAAGACUAGUAUGAAUGGCUUCACGAGGAUCCAACUGUCUCCUUUGUCCAAUCAGUGAAACUGAUCCCCCCGUGCAGAAGCGGGGAUAUUAUCAUAAGACGAGAAGACCCUAUGGAGCUUUAAACCUACAUCAACAAAUUUCUUUCUAUCUCUAAACUAACAUUUAUUAAAUUUGCUUGAUUAAAGUUUUAGGUUGGGGCGACCAUGGAGAAAAAAAAAUCCUCCACGAUGAUCUCCUAACUAAGAACCACAAUUCUAAGUAUUAAGACUCUUAACUUAUAUUGACCCAUUCUAUGAUCAACGAACCAAGUUACCCUAGGGAUAACAGCGCAAUCCAUUUCAAGAGUCCCUAUCGACAAAUGGGUUUACGACCUCGAUGUUGGAUCAGGGCACCCAAGUGGUGCAACCGCUACUAAAGGUUCGUUUGUUCAACGAUUAAAGCCCUACGUGAUCAGAGUUCAGACCGGAGA